Molecule: non-coding RNA, 86 nt
Organism: Favolaschia claudopus
Lineage: Eukaryota; Fungi; Basidiomycota; Agaricomycetes; Agaricales; Mycenaceae
Source: the annotation of a GenBank genome assembly
GGCCUGAUGGUCUAGUAGUAUGAUUCCUUGUUAGGGUGGAAAUCACGUGAUCGAGGAGGUCCCGGGUUCAAUUCCCGGUUAGGCCC